CUCAAUAUUACCAGAAAUAAAGUCCAAGUAAGAAGUUUAUUUGUCUCAUGCAACAAAACAUUUAAGGGUGUCCAAAGCUGGAACUGUGGCCUAAUGUCAUAUGGAAACUAGGUUCUCUCAAUCUUCCUGCUUUGCCAGCCUUAGCAUUUACUUACCACUUCAUAGGCACAUGAUGGCAGUUGAACUUCCCAACUUCAGGUCUGCUUAGAGGCAGGAAUAAAAGUGGCAAAACACUUAAAGAGUAUACUCAACUAGGCUGGGCGCAGUUGCUCACACUUGUAAUCCCAGCACUUUGGGAGGCCAAGGUAGGUGGAUCAUGAGGUCAGGAGUUUGAGACCAGCCUGGCCAAGAUGGUGAAACCCCGUCUCUACUAAAAAUACAAAAAUUAGCCUGGCGUGCUGGCGGGCACCUGUAGUCUCAGCUACUUGGGAGGCUGAGGCAGGAGAAUUGUUUGAACCUGGGAGACGGAGGUUGCCGUGAGCCGAGAUUGCGCCACUGCACUCCAGCCUGGGCAACAGAGCAAGACUUUGUCUCAAAAACAAAAAAAAAAAGGCUGGGGGGCUGGAGCAUACAUGUUUGAAGUAGAAUCUUUGACAAGCUGUUCUGCGUCCAUUCCCAUUUCUGUGCUUCCAUAUUUGUUUUCUAGAAAUUUUUUCUUUUCUUUUCUUUUUUUUUUUUUUUAGAAUUCUCUCUAGGAAAGCUACACUCCUGUGUCCUAGGGCCCAACAACAAGCAAGACAAGCAUAAUAGCUGGGAAACCAAUCAGCUUAAACUAAGACAGACAAUUAUCAAAAGGGCAUGUCUAGCCCGUGAGAACAUCCACCCUAAAUCCAGAAGGCAUUAUGACCACAUCUCUUCAGCUGCCAGGAUUUCAGAAGUCAAUGUGAUUUUAUUUGAAGCAAAACUGAAAUGGGUUCUUCUUCCUCAUUCUAUUCAUAUUGCUUUUUGAUGGCCAUGGCAUAAGGAACUUUAUCCCAGGAAUACAGCUUUGCAUUAGGUAAGCUAUAAACUUGCUCAUAAUACCAUUGUUAAACAUUACUUACUGUAGUCAUUUCUCUUUUAGCAAAAAUAAUAAUGUAUUUUGUUAAGAUAUUUAAUUCCUCUAGAGCAGAAGAUUCUUUCUUCUCUUCUGAAGAGAUAUUACGCAUUCUAAGGCCUACCAAUGACAUAAUUUGCACUAAUAGAACAUUUAAUGUCAGAUAAAUUUUUCUGCCAAGUGAUUUUUUUUUUUUUUUUUUUAACUUAGAAAAAUGUUAGAUUUGGAGUUAGGCUGCUGUUUGAAUCCUGACAUGCCAUUUCUGAGGUGUGUAACCACGGGCAGGUCUUUUAAUUUGAGCUUCAGUUUACUCAUCUUUCAAAAGGAUGCAAUGAUACGGGAGUGUUGCACAAUGUAGGUUUACAUAGUGUGCUCUGUGAACUCUAAAGCAUUUCACUAAUGUAAAGAGUAGGCAUAGGGAAUUGGUAUUUUUGUACAUUUGUGCCAGGCUUUAAAUUUACUGAAGCAACAUUUACUAUGUUUAAAUUUGCUUUCUAUAGUAAGCAUGCAAAUUACCAUAUGCUCUGAUUAAAGAAAUCUCUGAAGGACUUCACAAUAAGUAGCUAGUGGGUCUGCUUCCCUAUUGUAUUGCUGUCAUCUGUGUUUUUAGGAUGUUUAAUUGGUGUUUAAAUCACGUAUAAAAUUUGACUUAGAGUUCCUCAGCUGCAUAAUAAAUAGUGGCUGCUAUUAAACUCA
Piliocolobus tephrosceles (Ugandan red Colobus) is the source of this 1732-nucleotide long non-coding RNA. The record is from Ensembl. NCBI's taxonomy places the organism in Eukaryota, Metazoa, Chordata, Mammalia, Primates, Cercopithecidae.